GUAACGAGCGCCAACCCUUGUCCUUAGUUACCAGCACGUUAAUGGUGGGGCACUCUAAGGAGACUGCCGGUGACAAACCGGAGGAAGGUGGGGAUGACGUCAAGUCAUCAUGGCCCUUACGGCCUGGGCUACACACGUGCUACAAUGGUCGGUACAAAGGGUUGCCAAGCCGCGAGGUGGAGCUAAUCCCAUAAAACCGAUCGUAGUCCGGAUCGCAGUCUGCAACUCGACUGCGUGAAGUCGGAAUCGCUAGUAAUCGUGAAUCAGAAUGUCACGGUGAAUACGUUCCCGGGCCUU
RNAcentral lists this ribosomal RNA (297 nucleotides) under uncultured Pseudomonas sp. Its description in RNAcentral is "partial 16S ribosomal RNA". It matches the Rfam family "Bacterial small subunit ribosomal RNA", at positions 1089 to 1382 of the family's 1533-position model. Lineage: Bacteria; Pseudomonadati; Pseudomonadota; Gammaproteobacteria; Pseudomonadales; Pseudomonadaceae. The record is from RNAcentral.